GAACGCACCUUGCGCUCCUUGGUAUUCCGAGGAGCAUGCCUGUUUGAGUGUCAUUAAUAUAUAUCAACCUUCUCACUUGUUGAGAGGUUUGGAUGUGGGGGUUUGCUGGCCCUUUUUUAAAAAAAGGUUCAGCUCCUCUGAAAUGCAUUAGCAGAACAAACCUUGUUCAUUGGCGUGAUAACUAUCUACGCUGUUGAAUGUGAGGGGCAGUUCAGCUUUCUAACGGUCCUCGGACAAAUUCAUCAUUAAUGUGACCUCAAAUCAGGUAGGACUACCCGCUGAACUUAAG
RNAcentral lists this unclassified non-coding RNA (289 nucleotides) under Cortinarius puellaris. Its description in RNAcentral is "sequence contains 5.8S rRNA gene". The stretch from base 1 to 53 matches the Rfam family "5.8S ribosomal RNA", at positions 102 to 154 of the family's 154-position model. Lineage: Eukaryota; Fungi; Basidiomycota; Agaricomycetes; Agaricales; Cortinariaceae. The record is from RNAcentral.